Molecule: ribosomal RNA, 305 nt
Filed under: uncultured bacterium
Lineage: Bacteria
Description: partial 16S ribosomal RNA
Rfam family: Bacterial small subunit ribosomal RNA
Source: RNAcentral
ACAGCAGUCGCCGCGGGAAUACGAAGGGUGCAAGCGUUAAUCGGAAUUACUGGGCGUAAAGCGCGCGUAGGUGGUUUGGUAAGAUGGAUGUGAAAUCCCCGGGCUCAACCUGGGAACUGCAUCCAUAACUGCCUGACUAGAGUACGGUAGAGGGUGGUGGAAUUUCCUGUGUAGCGGUGAAAUGCGUAGAUAUAGGAAGGAACACCAGUGGCGAAGGCGACCACCUGGACUGAUACUGACACUGAGGUGCGAAAGCGUGGGGAGCAAACAGGAUUAGAUACCCCCGUAGUCCCUGUCUCUUAUAC